This 64-nucleotide transfer RNA is filed under the name Agama boulengeri. RNAcentral's name for it is "tRNA-His". Lineage: Eukaryota; Metazoa; Chordata; Lepidosauria; Squamata; Agamidae. The record is from RNAcentral.
CCCAGAUAGUUAAACAAAACACUUAGGUCGUGACCCUAAAAAUAGAGCUGCCCUCUUCUGGACU